CAGUCGCCACGGUAAUACGUAGGUGGCAAGCGUUGUCCGGAAUUAUUGGGCGUAAAGGGCUCGCAGGCGGUUUCUUAAGUCUGAUGUGAAAGCCCCCGGCUCAACCGGGGAGGGUCAUUGGAAACUGGGAAACUUGAGUGCAGAGGAGGAGAGUGGAAUUCCACGUGUAGCGGUGAAAUGCGUAGAGAUGUGGAGGAACACCAGUGGCGAAGGCGACUCUCUGGUCUGUAACUGACGCUGAGGAGCGAAAGCGUGGGGAGCGAACGGGAUUAGAUACCCCUGUAGUCCCUGUCUCUUAUAC
Molecule: ribosomal RNA, 301 nt
Filed under: uncultured bacterium
Lineage: Bacteria
Description: partial 16S ribosomal RNA
Rfam family: Bacterial small subunit ribosomal RNA
Source: RNAcentral